Calidris pygmaea (Spoon-billed sandpiper) is the source of this 3139-nucleotide long non-coding RNA. Lineage: Eukaryota; Metazoa; Chordata; Aves; Charadriiformes; Scolopacidae. The record is from Ensembl.
UCCCAGCGGCUCCUCCGGGGGGCUGCACAUGCUCGGUGCGGCUCCCGGCGACUCCCGGCAGCUCCCGGCGCGGCGCCCGGUGCGGCGCAGGGGAGCUCGGUUGCGGCUCCCGGUGAUUCCCGGUGCGGCUCCCGGCGGAGCUCCCGGUGCGGCUCCCGGCGAUUCCCGGUGCAGCUCCCGGUGCGGCUCCCGGUGCAGCUCCCGGCGAUUCCCGGUGCAGCUCCCGGUGCGGCUCCCGGUGAAGCUCCCGGUGCAGCUCCCGGUGCGCCCUCGGGAGCGCACGACCGAGCCCCGGGGCUGAGCCCUGCCCAUCCCAGCCUCACCACCGGCCCCGGGGCCGAGCUUUUCCCCGGCACCCACCCUCACCCCCCUCGGGCAGCAUGCCCCGCGGGCGAGCGUGGACGCAGGCGGAGGUCAGCAGCCUCCUGGCGCUGGUGGAGGGCUCGGGGGAGGCCGCCCUGCUCAUGGCCUCCACGUCGAGGCCCAACGAGGCACUGUGGCGGGAGAUCUCCCAAGGGCUGGCGGCGGCCGGCUACGGGCGCAGCGUGGCCCAGUGCCGCUCCAAGUGGAAGGCCCUCAAGCAGGCUUUCCACUCGGAGCGGGAGACGCGCCGGAGGGCCGGCUGCCACUCGCCCCGGCUGCCCCCGCACUACCGAGCUAUGAAGAGCAUCUGGAAGGCGGCCGGGCGGCCCGUCUUUGGCGAGCGGAGGAUGCCAGACCUGGUGAGGCAGCCCUCCAGGAAGCGCAGGUCAGCCCUUGCCGCCCGCUCUCCGUCCUCACCAGGGCCGCCAGGUACCUGUGGGCGCAGGCAGCCGGCGUGGGGCUUGUUACCGGCUGUGGGGUGGGCAGGCACCCCUCGUCUCGUGGUUAUUGAAGCUCUUUCCUGCUGCCCCCUCACCUGCCGUCUGCAGGGCACGAUGCUGGCAAGGACGCCCCAGGUGUGCUGCUGUCCCCCCUGCUGCAGCGUGCGAAGGAUGAGCCAGACAGCCGUAAGUAUCGGUCUGCCCCGCUGCACCGGGCUGCACGGCCACGGCUCCAGCCCCAGUCCAUGCCAGCAUGAUGGGAAUGGGAGGGCUUAGAGAGUUGGGAAGUCCCUCACAACAGGGGUGCUCGCCAAUGGCGUGUUGGGUUUUCUCUCUGUAGAGGCUUUGGAUCCAAACCAGUCCCAGAGCGUGAGGGAAUGGAGAUGGGGAAGGAAAGGGUCCCCAGCUCUGACCCAGCCUGAGGGCAUGGCAAGGCUGCUGGCUACCCCAAGGCAAGUCAUGGGGCUUAAGGUCUCUUAAGAGACGGUGGCCCUGAUCUGGCCCAGGGGGCUCUUGCGGCUGUGUGGCACUGCAGGGCAUGUGACUCCCCUUCCUCUGGCAGAUCCUGGCUUCCCCUUCCCCAGUAACACCAUAAAGCUUCAGAUGAGUUAGGACUGGGUGUGAGGGCCAGAGGUGUCUGCAGCUCCCCUGCCCUGCAGCCCACCCAGGGGCAGAUCCUGCAAGCCCCUCUCGCUGUGCACUCUCCCAGGGGUUUGGCACUGAGGUGACGCAGGAUACGUCCCUGGGUCUGAUUUGCAUGGGUGCCCCCGGCCAGCAUCCCAUACUGGGUAAUUACCUUCUGUCUCCCUAAAUUCCCCCUGCAGUUUCAAGUGGAUGUGGGAUUCUCCUUCACUUCCAGUCCUAAUCUGUUGUGUAGCGUUGCUGCACGCUGCUACGCCGCUGCUGCCUUCCAGCCCAGAGGUGGCUGCAUUGCAGUGGUGGGUGAGUGACUCCUGCUUUUGUAUCUAGCUUGUGAAACGCUUUGGGGCCCUGCAGGGUGCUGUGGAGCUGUGGCUGGGGCAUGUCGGGCUGCGGGGCUGGCCGGGGCAAGUCGGGCAGACCCCGGGCUGGUGGUGAUCCCCAUCAGAUGAUGCAUCUCUCCUCUCUGCUCUCUCCCAGCAGCUGGUGGUGGGGAACACAUCGCUGGAGUGCUGCCCACUCCCCCUGCUGUGCCACGUAAGGCUUUCCUUGCCCCACUUGGCCCGGUAAACCCCCUCGGCCCCAUGAGCAGGGUCUCAUACAGUUCUCAUUGCAGACACCGGUGGCUGCUUCCCUCCCCUUCCCCUCCUGGGCGAGUACCAUGCCCAGGCCACUGUGCUUGUGUGCCCUGGGGCAGGAGGCAGCCGCAGUUCAUGGGCUGGGUCUGCUUCCCUUGCAGGCUGUCACACCACCCUGAAGCAGGAGGGAGCUGAGCAAAAGGCUGGUAAGGGUCUGCAGCUCCGAGCAACGCCCCUGCUCCAGGGGAGGCAGCUCUGUCCUGUCCUGCCCGUGGGGGACAGAGGACGGGGGCUUCCGCAGCCAGUGCCAGCCUGGAGCUCUGUGUCAGGGUCAGGCUGAGUACGGGGCUUGGGUGGCUCCAGCACUCUGGGUGCUCCCUCCAUGCCAAACCAUCGCGGCAGGUUUUCCUGGUGAGACGUCCCUGGGGAUAGGAAGAAGAAACCGAGUGCUGCCAGUGGCCACCACAGCCCUGGGCUCCCCUGGGAUGGCUGCCAUGAGUGAGCAGCCGGCAACGAGUGAAGAGGCGUUGGACGCAAGCCUGCAUGGUGGGUCCUCCCUGCAGCAUCCCGGGAGCCUCGUGGUGGGUUCUCGGAGGAGUGCUGGGGGUUUGCUACCACUGACCCCUCCCCUGCCUCUCACUGCAGGCUCAGGUGUGGCAGGCUUGCUCCAGAACGUCCAGCAGCUGCUGGUGCAGAUCCUACAGACAUCGCGGCAGCAGCAGGCGCUGCUGGAGAGCCUGGCCAGUGACACCGUCUCCCACCUCCACUUCCUCUCCCACAGCCUGGUGCAGGUGGGUGAGACCCUGCACCAGCUCCUGCUCCGGCCGCAGACCUACUUCGGCCCCCUUGGCCACUACGGUCCCCACGUGCCCCUUUUUGAGGGUGGCCCUGGGGUGCCCUAUUCCGCCGGCUCUCCCCACGCCGCCCCAGAUGACAAAGAGGAGCCUCAGGUGUCCCUUGCCUCUGGCUGCACCCCAUGAGUGCCACCAUCCUCAGCCCCAGGGGCAACAGCUUCGCUAUGCAGCCACGGCACAAAUCUUUAUAGCAGAGGCCCUGGAUAUUUUGGAAGUUUAUAGAAGAGAGACAUUUUAAUAAAACUAAAAAUAGCUUUUUCUACCA